CCUGUGCUUGCCUUCCUUGAUUCGCACCCACCUGGAAAACUCGAGCAUCCUUAUCCUACACACUGCGUCGCUGGAAGCGAUGAGUCGAAGCUGGUUCCUGGUAUUUUAACAUGUUCACAAUUAUAACCGUCUGAUUUGAAUCUAUAACUAAAGAAAUUCGAUAUCAUGUCUUUUUUUGUGCACAUACCAUUGUGUGUUUUUCUGCUAUAUGUGCAGCUCUAAGUUGGAUCGAAGAAGAGCCGAAUGUGACAAUUAGGCGCAAAGAUUGCUAUGAUGGCUACCUGGGAUCGAUUCAGGAGGAUGGCUCCAAUGUCUUUGUUGACUGGGUGAAGAGCAACAAGAUACAAACUGUGAGUGUAUUCUAUCCCUUCUUGCUUGACUGAUUUCAAGAAUUUUGCGAUUAUUCAAUGAUUAAUUAGACUUGUCAAUCCAAGCAUAAUUGUUGCUUACAUACACUAACUGGGAUGAAUUACGUGCAGCUGUUGGUGGUAGGCAUCUGCACAGACAUAUGUGUGCUGGAUUUUGUCUGCUCCACAAUAUCAGCUAAAAACCGUGGCUUCCUGGAACCCCUCGAGGAUGUUGUGGUGUACUCCAAAGGUUGUGCUACUUUUGAUAUUCCAGCUUCACUGGCAAGAAACAACAAAGAUCUAUUAGCUCAUCCCCAGGUAAUUUCCUUCAACAGCAAAAACAUUUGAAAACCGAUAGCGGGGCAUGAUCAAGAGUAACCUUUUUUUUUAUGACGAGAAGUUGAAUUCAUUCGCCACCAUCUAAUGUUCAUCGAUUCUUGAUCAUGGCAGGAGAUGAUGCAUCAUGUAGGGCUUU
This 822-nucleotide long non-coding RNA is filed under the name Erythranthe guttata (spotted monkey flower). RNAcentral's name for it is "long non-coding RNA (EGUT_LNC003769)". The record is from RNAcentral. Lineage: Eukaryota; Viridiplantae; Streptophyta; Magnoliopsida; Lamiales; Phrymaceae.